RNAcentral lists this ribosomal RNA (253 nucleotides) under uncultured bacterium. RNAcentral's name for it is "partial 16S ribosomal RNA". It matches the Rfam family "Bacterial small subunit ribosomal RNA", at positions 524 to 776 of the family's 1533-position model. The record is from RNAcentral.
UACGGGGGGGGCAAGCGUUGUUCGGAAUUACUGGGCGUAAAGGGCGCGUAGGCGGCCUGUUAAGUCGAACGUGAAAUCCCCGGGCUCAACCCGGGAACUGCGUCCGAUACUGGCUGGCUUGAAUCCGGGAGAGGGAUGCGGAAUUCCAGGUGUAGCGGUGAAAUGCGUAGAUAUCUGGAGGAACACCGGUGGCGAAGGCGGCAUCCUGGACCGGUAUUGACGCUGAGGCGCGAAAGCCAGGGGAGCAAACGGG